This 1370-nucleotide ribosomal RNA is filed under the name uncultured bacterium. RNAcentral's name for it is "bacterial SSU rRNA". It matches the Rfam family "Bacterial small subunit ribosomal RNA". The record is from RNAcentral.
AGAGUUUGAUCCUGGCUCAGGACGAACGCUGGCGGCGCGCCUAACACAUGCAAGUCGAACGAGCGAGAGAGAGCUUGCUUUCUCGAGCGAGUGGCGAACGGGUGAGUAACGCGUGAGGAACCUGCCUCAAAGAGGGGGACAACAGUUGGAAACGACUGCUAAUACCGCAUAAGCCCACAGCUCGGCAUCGAGCAGAGGGAAAAGGAGCAAUCCGCUUUGAGAUGGCCUCGCGUCCGAUUAGCUAGUUGGUGAGGUAAUGGCCCACCAAGGCGACGAUCGGUAGCCGGACUGAGAGGUUGAACGGCCACAUUGGGACUGAGACACGGCCCAGACUCCUACGGGAGGCAGCAGUGGGGAAUAUUGCACAAUGGGGGAAACCCUGAUGCAGCGACGCCGCGUGGAGGAAGAAGGUCUUCGGAUUGUAAACUCCUGUUGUUGAGGAAGAUAAUGACGGUACUCAACAAGGAAGUGACGGCUAACUACGUGCCAGCAGCCGCGGUAAAACGUAGGUCACAAGCGUUGUCCGGAAUUACUGGGUGUAAGGGGAGCGCAGGCGGGAAGACAAGUUGGAAGUGAAAUCUAUGGGCUCAACCCAUAAACUGCUUUCAAAACUGUUUUUCUUGAGUAGUGCAGAGGUAGGCGGAAUUCCCGGUGUAGCGGUGGAAUGCGUAGAUAUCGGGAGGAACACCAGUGGCGAAGGCGGGCUACUGGGCACCAACUGACGCUGAGGCUCGAAAGUGUGGGUAGCAAACAGGAUUAGAUACCCUGGUAGUCCACACCGUAAACGAUGAUUACUAGGUGUUGGAGGAUUGACCCCUUCAGUGCCGCAGUUAACACAAUAAGUAAUCCACCUGGGGAGUACGACCGCAAGGUUGAAACUCAAAGGAAUUGACGGGGGCCCGCACAAGCAGUGGAGUAUGUGGUUUAAUUCGACGCAACGCGAAGAACCUUACCAAGUCUUGACAUCCCUUGACGAACAUAGAAAUAUGUUUUCUCUUCGGAGCAAGGAGACAGGUGGUGCAUGGUUGUCGUCAGCUCGUGUCGUGAGAUGUUGGGUUAAGUCCCGCAACGAGCGCAACCCUUACUGUCAGUUACUACGCAAGAGGACUCUGGCAGGACUGCCGUUGACAAAACGGAGGAAGGUGGGGAUGACGUCAAAUCAUCAUGCCCUUUAUGACUUGGGCUACACACGUACUACAAUGGCGUUAAACAAAGAGAAGCAAGACCGCGAGGUGGAGCAAAACUCAGAAACAACGUCCCACUUCGGACUGCAGGCUGCAACUCGCCUGCACGAAGUCGGAAUUGCUAGUAAUCGUGGAUCAGCAUGCCACGGUGAAUACGUUCCCGGGCCCUUGUACACACCGCCCGUC